CAGAGAAGUGCUUUAGCAAUAAAGAACCCGGUGACAGGUGCUGCAUGGCUGUCGUCAGCUCGUGUCGUGAGAUGUUGGGUUAAGUCCCGCAACGAGCGCAACCCUCGCCUUAGUUGCCAGCAUUCAGUUGGGCACUCUAGAGGGACUGCCGGUGUCAAACCGGAGGAAGGUGGGGAUGACGUCAAGUCCUCAUGGCCUUUAUGUCUAGGGCUACACACGUACUACAAUGGCCGGUACAAAGGGCAGCCACUCAGCGAUGAGGCGCUAAUCCCAUAAAGCCGGUCUCAGUCCGGAUCGCAGUCUGCAACUCGACUGCGUGAAGUUGGAAUCGCUAGUAAUCGUAGAUCAGCAUGCUACGGUGAAUACGUUCCCGGGCCUU
This 379-nucleotide ribosomal RNA is filed under the name uncultured Desulfovibrio sp. RNAcentral describes it as "bacterial SSU rRNA". It matches the Rfam family "Bacterial small subunit ribosomal RNA", at positions 1001 to 1382 of the family's 1533-position model. Lineage: Bacteria; Pseudomonadati; Thermodesulfobacteriota; Desulfovibrionia; Desulfovibrionales; Desulfovibrionaceae. The record is from RNAcentral.